UUCAUUUCAGAGAAGUUUAUUUUUUGUAUAACAAACUUCACAACUUAUAGGAAGCUAGAAUAAUUGUAAGAACAUUUGCAGCAUUGAACACUACUUUAAGUAAAACAAAAAAUGGUAGCCUCGAGAACAAGUGACCCAAUUGGCACAGUGACAUCUUUCUACAUACGUGACUACUGGUGGAUGUAAACUUGAUAAACCAGUCUAAA
This 206-nucleotide long non-coding RNA is filed under the name Nicotiana benthamiana. RNAcentral's name for it is "long non-coding RNA (NBEN_LNC021687)". Lineage: Eukaryota; Viridiplantae; Streptophyta; Magnoliopsida; Solanales; Solanaceae. The record is from RNAcentral.